Molecule: ribosomal RNA, 1476 nt
Filed under: uncultured bacterium
Lineage: Bacteria
Description: bacterial SSU rRNA
Rfam family: Bacterial small subunit ribosomal RNA
Source: RNAcentral
AGAGUUUGANCCUGNCUCAGGAUGAACGCUGGCGGCGUGCCUAACACAUGCNAGUCGAGCGCGAUCUUCAUGAUAGAGUUUUCGGAUGAAGUCAUGAAUUGAAAGCGGCGGACGGGUGAGUAACGCGUAGGCAACCUGCCCCAUACAGGAAGAUAGCCUCGGGAAACCGGGAUUAAUACUCCAUGAAGCUCUAGUGACACAUGUCACAUGAGUCAAAGUGUUUAGCGGUAUGGGAUGGGCCUGCGUCUGAUUAGCUAGUUGGUGAGGUAACGGCUUACCAAGGCAACGAUCAGUAGCCGACCUGAGAGGGUGAUCGGCCACACUGGAACUGAGACACGGUCCAGGCUCCUACGGGAGGCAGCAGUGGGGAAUAUUGCACAAUGGGGGAAACCCUGAUGCAGCAACGCCGCGUGAGUGAUGAAGGUUUUCGGAUCGUAAAGCUCUGUCCUAAGGGAAGAUAAUGACGGUACCUUAGGAGGAAGCCCCGGCUAACUACGUGCCAGCAGCCGCGGUAAUACGUAGGGGGCAAGCGUUAUCCGGAAUUAUUGGGCGUAAAGGGUGCGUAGGUGGUUACGUAAGCCCAUGGUGAAAGGCUACAGCUCAACUGUAGUAAGCCGUGGGAACUGUGUAACUUGAGUGCAGGAGAGGAAAGUGGAAUUCCUAGUGUAGCGGUGGAAUGCGUAGAUAUUAGGAGGAACACCAGUGGCGAAGGCGACUUUCUGGACUGUAACUGACACUGAGGCACGAAAGCGUGGGGAGCAAACAGGAUUAGAUACCCUGGUAGUCCACGCCGUAAACGAUGAGCACUAGGUGUCGGGGUCAUAGACUUCGGUGCCGCAGCUAACGCAUUAAGUGCUCCGCCUGGGGAGUACGGUCGCAAGACUGAAACUCAAAGGAAUUGACGGGGACCCGCACAAGCAGCGGAGCAUGUGGUUUAAUUCGAAGCAACGCGAAGAACCUUACCAAAACUUGACAUCCUUCUGACCGUUCCGUAAUGGGAACUUUCCUUCGGGACAGAAGUGACAGGUGGUGCAUGGUUGUCGUCAGCUCGUGUCGUGAGAUGUUGGGUUGAGUCCCGCAACGAGCGCAACCCCUAUCUUUAGUUGCCAGCAUUUCGGAUGGGCACUCUAGAGAGACUGCCGGGGAUAACUCGGAGGAAGGUGGGGAUGACGUCAAAUCAUCAUGCCCCUUAUGUUUUGGGCUACACACGUGCUACAAUGGCUGGUACAGAGGGCAGCGAUAGAGUGAUCUGGAGCAAAUCCUAAAAGCCAGUCCCAGUUCGGAUUGUAGGCUGCAACUCGCCUACAUGAAGCUGGAGUUGCUAGUAAUCGUGAAUCAGAAUGUCACGGUGAAUGCGUUCCCGGGUCUUGUACACACCGCCCGUCACACCAUGGAAGUUGGGGGCACCCGAAGUCAGUCGAUAAAGGCUGCCGAAGGUGAAAUCUANAAGGAGGGUGAAGUCGUAACAAGGUAACC